UUUUUUUUUUUUUUUUUGGUUCCCAAGUUUCAUUCAAGAACUCAUACAAAAUAUUCUGGAUAAAUGAAAUUUAAUCCUCAUCUUCCUCCUCUUCUUCGUCCUGGUUAAUCUGGAAGUAAUGUAAUUCAUAACUGUCUUUGCUGUUAGCAACUACGCACAACCAGUCACGUAAAUUAUUAUUCUUCAAAUAUUUUUUGGUGAGAUAUUUCAAAUACCUUUUGGAGAAAGCACCUCAGAUGUCAUAGUGAUCUUGCUCUUGCUCCUUUCGAUGGUCGCCACCCCUCCACCAAGGUUCCCAGCUUUUCCGUUCACUUUGAUCCUUUCUUGCAAAAACUGCUCAAAAUUGGCAGCAUCUAUGAUUCCAUCUUCUACAGGGUGGGUGCAAUCAAGAGGAAACUUCAGAACCUGCUUCUUUUUUUUGCCCCCCUUCGCCACAAGCUUUUUCACAGGUGCCAUGGCGGCAGUGGAGUUAACAUUGUUGCUUUUUAUGUAGACUAACAUUUUAUUUUCUCUAUCUUCAAUAUAACUUAUUUUCUCUUUUUCUUAUUACAAAAAUAAAGCAUAUUUAUUCUGGAAAAUUGAGAAAAUACAACGAAGAACAAAGAAGGAAAUAAAAGCCAUUUAUAGUUCCCUUACCCAGAUACAGCCAUGCUAACCGUUUUUUCCUUUCAGUUCUUUAUCCAGACAUUACAAAAAUAUAACCGUCCUGUUCAUACCACACUUAAAAUUUUGCUUGCUGUGGACAUUUUUCUAUACUGGUAAACAUGAACAAAUAAUUCCUUACUUUUUUUCUUUUUUCUUUGUUCCUUCAUUCCUGUCUUUCUUUUGCAAAAACAACUUUAACUUUUCAUGGUUACAAAAGUAAUACAUGUUCAUUGUUAAAUACACACACACGUGUGUGUGUGUUUGUGUGAAUUAGACAGCACAAAAGGAACUUCUACCAUUUAAAGCAGGAGUCUGCAAACUUUUUCUCUAUAGGGCCACAUAGUGAAUAUUUUUAGCUUUGUGGGCAACACAAACUCACAAACUGUGUUGCAGCUACUCAACUGUGCCAUUUUAGUACAAAAGCAGCCAUAGACAACAUGUAAAAGAAAGAGUGUGGCUGUGUUCCAAUAAAACUUUAUUUAGUGAGUCCAGGGUCUAGUUUGCUGACCCCAUCUGGGGGAAAGCACUAAUAACGUACAGACACAUGCUUGCUUUUUUUUUUUUUUUUUUUCUCUCACAAAAAUGGAAUCAUACUACAUAAACUGUCUUGUAUGUAUUUAAAUAUUCAUUUGUGUCUGUUGUGUGCCAGCUCAUAAACAAUGGUGUAUACAAUGGUGAACAGGACAGACAAGGACCGUGCUUUCCUGGAGUUUACUGCAGGAGACACGAUUAACAUAGUAAGUGCUCUGAAAGUAAUGAGGGGGCUGUGAUGGAGAAAAAUCAGCUUUCUAGUGUAGCAUAACUUUUGCAACCAAUCUCUUCUUUACGGGCAUUUAAUUUCCUUAAUUGUUUCUAUUAUAGACUACACUGUCAUAAACAUUUUUGGGACUAAGCCUUUAUGAAAAACCAUCAUUUUUCCCUUAGGCUAAAUUCCUUGAAAUAGAAUAGCUGAGUCAAAAGGCAUA
This is a long non-coding RNA of Macaca fascicularis (crab-eating macaque), 1610 nucleotides long. Lineage: Eukaryota; Metazoa; Chordata; Mammalia; Primates; Cercopithecidae. The record is from Ensembl.